RNAcentral lists this small nuclear RNA (304 nucleotides) under Oryctolagus cuniculus (rabbit). Its description in RNAcentral is "7SK RNA". It matches the Rfam family "7SK RNA". From Rfam's summary of the family: 7SK was discovered as an abundant small nuclear RNA in the mid-70s but a possible function has only recently been suggested. Two independent studies have found that 7SK RNA binds the CDK9/cyclin T complex (known as elongation factor P-TEFb). Lineage: Eukaryota; Metazoa; Chordata; Mammalia; Lagomorpha; Leporidae. The record is from Rfam by way of RNAcentral.
GGGCAUGAGGGUGAUCUGGCUGUGACACCUGUCACCCCACUGACCACCAGGGUUGAUUCAGCUGAUCGGCUGGCUGGGCAGGUGUCCCCUUCCUCCCUCACUGCUCCAUGGGCAUCCCCCCUGAAGCUGCACGCUUGAUUGAAGAGGACGACUUUUCCUGCAAGAGGAGGACCCGUCUUCACUCAAGGGUAUAUGAGUAGCUGGGCUCCCCUGCUAGGACCUCCAAACAAGCUGAAUACAAGCUCAGACUGAAUAACACAUAAACGGCAUAAGUUUAUUUUCUCACACUUCUGGGGGCUGAGGA